GACAGAGGUGCCAAGCGUUAGGCGGAAUCACUGGGCUUAAAGCGUGUGUAGGCGGAUGUCUAAGUACCUUGUGAAAUCCCACGGCUCAACCGUGGAGCUGCUUGGUAUACUGGAUGUCUUGAGCCAGCUAGGGGCUACCGGAACAAAUGGUGGAGCGGUGAAAUGCGUAGAUAUCGUUUGGAACGCCAAUGGUGAAAACAACUUGCUGGGGGUGUGCUGACGCCGAGACACGAAAGCCAGGGGAGCAAACGGG
RNAcentral lists this ribosomal RNA (253 nucleotides) under uncultured bacterium. Its description in RNAcentral is "partial 16S ribosomal RNA". It matches the Rfam family "Bacterial small subunit ribosomal RNA", at positions 524 to 776 of the family's 1533-position model. The record is from RNAcentral.